This 72-nucleotide transfer RNA is filed under the name Bacillus phage vB_BanS-Tsamsa. It matches the Rfam family "tRNA". Rfam says of the family: Transfer RNA (tRNA) molecules are approximately 80 nucleotides in length. Their secondary structure includes four short double-helical elements and three loops (D, anti-codon, and T loops). Further hydrogen bonds mediate the characteristic L-shaped molecular structure. tRNAs have two regions of fundamental functional importance: the anti-codon, which is responsible for specific mRNA codon recognition, and the 3' end, to which the tRNAs corresponding amino acid is attached (by aminoacyl-tRNA synthetases). tRNAs cope with the degeneracy of the genetic code in two manners: having more than one tRNA (with a specific anti-codon) for a particular amino acid; and 'wobble' base-pairing, i.e. permitting non-standard base-pairing at the 3rd anti-codon position. The record is from Rfam by way of RNAcentral. Lineage: Duplodnaviria; Heunggongvirae; Uroviricota; Caudoviricetes. RNAcentral also lists the same sequence under 1 other name.
GCAGGUUUAGUUAAGGGGCUAUAACAAUCGCCUUGUAAGCGAUAAUCGGGGGUUCGAUUCCCUCAACCUGCA